Molecule: ribosomal RNA, 468 nt
Filed under: uncultured bacterium
Lineage: Bacteria
Description: partial 16S ribosomal RNA
Rfam family: Bacterial small subunit ribosomal RNA
Source: RNAcentral
GACGAACGCUGGCGGCGUGCUUAACACAUGCAAGUCGAACGGAAAGGCCCUGCUUUUGUGUGGUGUCCGAGUGGCGAACGGGUGAGUAACACGUGAGUAUCCUGCCCUUGACUUUGGGAUAACUUCAGGAAACUGGGGCUAAUACCGGCUAGGAGCUCCUGCUGCAUGGUGGGGGUUGGAAAGUUUCCGCGGAUGGGGAUGGACUCGGGGGUUAUCAGCUUGUUGGUGGGGUAGUGGCUUACCAAGGCUUUGACGGGUAGCCGGCCUUAGAGGGUAACCGGCCACAUUGGGACUGAGGUAGGGCCCAGACUCCUACGGGAGGCAGCAGUGGGGAAUAUUGCACAAUGAGCGGAAGCCUGAGGCGAAAGCGCCGCGAGCGGGAGGACGGCCAUCGGGGUAUGAACCGCUUUAACCUGUGACGAAGCGGGAGUGACGGUAAUGGGAAAAGAAGCACCGGCUAACUACGUG